AAGACCGUAGCAACGAGAUCUGAAUCUGAUCUUUAGAAGAUCGUCCAACUGAACGUAGCGAUUCAAGCUGUGAAGAUCAAGAGGGGUGUCCCCGAAAACUGGAUCCCCAACUGAACGUGAAGCACCCCUUACUUUCAUUCCACUGUCCCGGUAACCCUUAUUACGAUUCAUAAACAGGUUUGCCAGGGGAAGUGGAGGGGCGACACGUGCCCGUUUCGCACGUGUGUACAUACGCAGUUACUAGUCUUUGUGCUCGCGUCCAUUCUCCCACCGGAUGCUGGACGCAAAAUCAAUAGGAAACUCCGUGCCACGCGUUACGCCGUGCACGUGGAUUUGUGUACGGUUUUAAUUAUCCUCAGAUGCAGGUAUGAGUUCACGUGGCACUUGACCGUCGCCAUUGCGGCAUUCGCGACGAUCAGAUGUUCGACGAUAAGAUUCCACACACGGUUCGCGGAAAGUGCACAGCCUAGGGCAAACGAAGCGAUCGCCAUCGAGAUCAGCCAGCUGAUAAAACUAGCCGACAUGACCGGCGGUUUCAAUGCCGGUGAGUAGUAUGAUGACCAAACUCGUUGCCACCAUUGAUACGACACUUGUCUGUACUCCGAUUCCUGCAAAACACGCAAUCUCUCCUAACCGCAAACUAGAUAUAAGCAGUAAAUGUAUAUAAGCAGUAAAUAGCCAGGAGUAAAUAGAAAAUGGCAGCUGGUGUCGGGUUGUAUAAUCUACUCACGUAACUCCAAGUGUACCAAACGCAGCAGUAGAGCAGCCUUUGUAGCGUCAGCCAGAGCCACAAAACCGCGAUGGCGACGAUCCAGCUGACCACCAGCUUCAAACACCUUUGUACAACAUCGUCGACGCCAUGGCUUGCGCCAGGCCGUUGCACGAGGGCGGAUUCCUCCAGAGGACGAUCGCCACAGAGGCGAGGACCAGGAACGAGGGUACGGUGUGGACGAAGUCCGGACCGACGGCGAUCUUGGCAUACUCUCGGAACACCUUGUGCUGGAGGAACAGGAUCUCGUGCGGCACCGAGAGCAAGGUCACCACU
This is a long non-coding RNA of Ceratina calcarata, 1045 nucleotides long. RefSeq lists it as uncharacterized. The record is from RefSeq and is a predicted model, not a curated record. The transcript is spliced from 3 exons. Lineage: Eukaryota; Metazoa; Arthropoda; Insecta; Hymenoptera; Apidae.